UUCUUUCCUCUCUCUUCUCUCUCUUAUUUUAUGUUUGUUUCUUUCAUUGAGGACAAUGCAUAUUUUAAGUGUGGGGGAGGGAAUACUUUAUUUUCUUUGUUUUUGUUCUUUGUUUUGUUUUGUUUUUGUUUUCUUUCUAAAAAAAAUUGCAUUUUUGUUGAAAGUUUUAGGCUAUAGAAUAAUUUGAGGUCGAGUUUGCGGAGACUUGGGAAAAAUUCACAAGAUCGGUAUUGUUUUAACACCGUAAGUCUCCUGCAUAUGGAAAUUGAGUUGAAUUUUUAUUAUGACAUAGCCUUAAAUUCUCAUUCUCUG
Molecule: long non-coding RNA, 312 nt
Filed under: Lathyrus oleraceus (garden pea)
Lineage: Eukaryota; Viridiplantae; Streptophyta; Magnoliopsida; Fabales; Fabaceae
Description: Pisum sativum (pea) long non-coding RNA (PSAT_LNC005183)
Source: RNAcentral